AAGACUAUACUUUCAGGGAUCAUUUCUAUAGUUCGUCACUAGAGAAGUUUCUCUGAACGUGUAGAGUACCAGAAACCACGAGGAGGAGGUGUAGUAUUCCUUUCUGAGCGUGAAGUUGGCUUUGGGUGUUGGUUUUACAACUGCCCUUUGUCUUUGAUGAUCGUUCUUCUUCUUUCUCUCGGAGAAGUAAGAGGGAAGGGAUACUGUCUGAGUGGU
Molecule: small nucleolar RNA, 216 nt
Filed under: Zalophus californianus (California sea lion)
Lineage: Eukaryota; Metazoa; Chordata; Mammalia; Carnivora; Otariidae
Description: Small nucleolar RNA U3 (ENSZCAG00015024717.1)
Rfam family: Small nucleolar RNA U3
About the family: Small nucleolar RNAs (snoRNAs) are involved in the processing and modification of rRNA in the nucleolus. There are two main classes of snoRNAs: the box C/D class, and the box H/ACA class.
Source: RNAcentral